GGAAUCUUAGGUUAAUUAGAAACUUGUUGUCUUCAAAACAAUAGAUAAGAAAUUAGAUUCUG
RNAcentral lists this transfer RNA (62 nucleotides) under Pyura gangelion. RNAcentral's name for it is "transfer RNA-Trp". Lineage: Eukaryota; Metazoa; Chordata; Ascidiacea; Stolidobranchia; Pyuridae. The record is from RNAcentral.